CACAGGGUAGAUUGAGACGCGUUAAGUGCCAUAGAAACGGAAUGUGGGCUAUGGACGAAGGAUUACCGCGAUGUCUUGAUCACAUUCACUGUA
Weissella paramesenteroides ATCC 33313 is the source of this 93-nucleotide regulatory RNA element. It matches the Rfam family "THF (Tetrahydrofolate) riboswitch aptamer". Rfam says of the family: THF riboswitch presents a pseudoknot that joins P1-P2 and the loop of P3 and two THF binding. The record is from Rfam. NCBI's taxonomy places the organism in Bacteria, Bacillati, Bacillota, Bacilli, Lactobacillales, Lactobacillaceae.